GGAUGUGAGGGCAAUCUAUCUGGCUGCAGUAUUUGUCACUCCAUUGAUCGCCAGGACUCAUUCGGCUGAUCUGGCUGGCUAGAUCCAUGUCCACUCCCUCACCACACCAUGUGCAUCCCUCCUGAAGCUGAACACUCACUCAGUCAAAGAGGAUGGCCACCCCCAGUAGAGGACCAUUUCUUCGAUUGAGGGUAUACAAGUAGCUGCACUCCCCAGGAUAGAACCUCCAAACAAGCUCUCCUGGUCAAAAUAUAACAAGCAGGGCUAGGGAUUUAGCUCAGUGGUGCCACCGUCUGCCUGGCAAAUGC
Molecule: non-coding RNA, 308 nt
Organism: Fukomys damarensis (Damara mole-rat)
Lineage: Eukaryota; Metazoa; Chordata; Mammalia; Rodentia; Bathyergidae
Source: Rfam